UUUCGUUCACUCGCUCGUUCCUGCUUCCUUUGGCGCGCUGGCCUUCAGACGGAGGGGCCUCGGGAGGGUUGGUCCGCAUUGUCUGCUCGGGGACCUCCCCCGGGGCUCUCCCCGGGGAAGCAACAGGGAUGUGUACGCAGAGAGUGGGGUUCGGGGAUCGGCGGGGGCGGUGCGGUAGUUGAUCGCCGCCUGGCGGCCGGGCGAGCUUCCGCGCCCUGGGGCGUAGGUAGACGUCCACCCCCCCCCCUCCUUUUCAGGUUGCUUGAAUCUGUUCUAGUAAUGAUCCUUCCGCAGGUUCACCUACGGAAA
This 309-nucleotide unclassified non-coding RNA is filed under the name uncultured fungus. Its description in RNAcentral is "sequence contains ITS1". The record is from RNAcentral. Lineage: Eukaryota; Fungi.